Molecule: ribosomal RNA, 136 nt
Organism: Pan paniscus (pygmy chimpanzee)
Lineage: Eukaryota; Metazoa; Chordata; Mammalia; Primates; Hominidae
Source: Ensembl
GAAUAUGGCCACACCACUCUGAACACGCCUGAUCUUGUCUGAUCUCAUGAAGCUAAGCAGGGUCAGGCCUGGUUAGUACUUGGAUGGGAGGAAUAGAUCUUGAAAUUUAUAAAUAGCACUCAGACAUCUAUUUUUA